This 1010-nucleotide long non-coding RNA is filed under the name Sinocyclocheilus grahami. Its description in RNAcentral is "lncRNA (ENSSGRG00000006544.1)". Lineage: Eukaryota; Metazoa; Chordata; Actinopteri; Cypriniformes; Cyprinidae. The record is from RNAcentral.
CACUCUUCUCCCACCUUUGUCUGAACUAUCUGCCUGCCAUGAAUUAUCUGUCUGCCCUGAACUGACUCUCUGUCCUGAAACGACCACGGAGAUCGUUCCCCUGUCAUUGGCGCUCCCGGUGUUGGGAGUGGCCUUGUGGUGUGUGUGGGCAGCACACACCGUCCCUAAUUCCCCUGAGUAUCUUGAACUCCUGCCCAGCCUCCCUCUCCCACCACCUCUGUACCAGUCCCCACCAUCUUCACCGCUGCCUCCUGGCAGCCCCUCUGCUCACCCUCAGCCCAGCAUCUGUGUGGUGGGAUUGCAGCAAGUCUGCCAGUCUCCAUCGGCGUCAUGGUUGGAGGAUCCCUUGUCUCCGCCUCCGGCCUCCAAGUCCUGGACUCCGCCUCGGCCCUUCGAUCCAGCAGCUCCACCAUGGCUCCUAGCUCCCUCUUCUCCACUGUGGCCCGUCAGUCCACCAGCUCUGCUGGGCUCCCUCGUCCCUCCGGCUCCGUCUUGGUCUGUCGUUGACCAUUCGCCGCCGAGGGACUCUACUUCUCUGACUACACCUUGGCCUCCUUGUCGCCCUGGCUCUUCGGGUCGCCGCCUCGGGCUCCACCACCACCUGCUCCGCCGAUGUCGGUCGGCCCCCUGGAGUCGUCAGCCCUUCCUCCACCAUGGCUCCUCCCUCCGUCGGCUCCACCUUGGGCCGCCAUCAUGGCUGUGGCCUGGGUCCCUCCUGGCUCCUCCUGCUCCCACCUGUCUUCUCCCAGACUCCUCCCUCUGUGUAAUCCACCCUGGUUCCUCCUGUUUUCUCCAUGGCUUCUCCCUGCGUCAUCUCCACCCUGGACUCUGUUCGUCGUCCUCCUCCGGGGACUCCGUCCCCUGCCCGAACCUCCUCCUGUACUGACUGCCUGCCUUCCUGCCAUCCCCUGUCACCAUUCCACAUCCCACACACACACACGAAGUACAGUAUUGAAACAUAAAUACCCUUGAAUUUUUUUAAUUAAAAUUAAUUAUGUUCUUGUGAGGCA